Molecule: RNA transcript, 5844 nt
Organism: Motacilla alba alba
Lineage: Eukaryota; Metazoa; Chordata; Aves; Passeriformes; Motacillidae
Gene name: OX-2 membrane glycoprotein-like
Exons: 7
Source: RefSeq, a predicted model, not a curated record
CCUCCAGUUGGCAGCUGCCUUCGGAAACUUUCGGGGGAAAGUUUCUUUGAAGUUAAGGGAGAUUCCCAGAAAGUGGUGGGGGGCGGUUUGUCCCGGGAGCGGCACAGGCCGUGGCUCAGAAGCCCUCCGAAGUGCGGUUUUGGGAGAUGCAGUAAAGGAUUUGCGCUUUACUUGCCCCAAUCUUUAACGCGCUUUUUUUUUUUUUUUUUUUUUUUUUUUUUCCCUUUUUCUGUUCGUUUUGGUUUUUGUUUCUUCACUCCCUGCAGCACCCGUGACUGGAGUUGUGACCUAAAGGGACUUCUUUCUUUCUGUGCCCGGUAUAGUUACAUGGUAUAGCCUCGUUCCUCAUUGUGUGAAUUCUUGUAGCUACCCAGUGUGUGUGCUGGUGCAUUAAGGACUUUCAUGGGUACUAAAGCAGUGAAGCAAAGGAUUGUUACUGAAAACUCCGCUUGCCUGCAGGCGAGGUAAAGCAUUUUCUCUUGCAAAAUGAGUUUACGAGCUCUGGUUUUGUGUUUGGCAUAUUCUGGGCUUGGAAAGGCAAAUGUGGUUCCGCAAGCUGGACACACAAAAGUGAGGAUGGGUGACAGUGUGACUCUGAGCUGUGCCCUGACAAAACCCAUGGAUGUUCUGCAAGUGACGUGGCAAAAGGACUCAGAAGAAUUACAUGAUAAUAUAGCUACAUACAGUGAAACGAACGGAUUAAGGAUUCAGAAGCCCUAUGAAGACAGAAUGAAUUUCACUAGUUUGGAACUCAACAAGACAAGCAUAACCUUUUGGGACGCUAGAAUGGAUGAUUCAGGAUGUUACAAGUGUCUCUUCAAUGUUUUCCCUUCUGGUCCUCUCUCAGGAAAUACCUGCCUGAGUGUUUUUGGUCUCAAUGCAUCUGUCCAUCACAACAUUUCUGAAGAUCAUUUGAUAGUCAUCUGUAAUGCUAAUGGCCUCCCAGAGCCCACCAUCACAUGGAACAACCUGUUCAAUUCUACUCCUACACAGAAGACAGUCAAGCACAAAAAUGGGAUUGUGUCCAUCACCAGUAAACUGGAAAUCUACAAUAUUCAGAGCAUCAGUGCACAGGAUUUGAUCUGCAGAGUAAGCAACACAAAUGAAACAUUUGAAAUGCCUGUGAAAAUAAAAGGAGAAGAGGCAUCGUCAUUGCUUUGGCUGGUGAUUAUUGUGGUGCUUUUAGUAGUCAUCAUAGUUCUGAUUCUGAUUAUGCUGUUCUGGAGGAAGAUCCUAUGCAGGAGGAGUUGAAGUGGAUCCUUGAGGAUUUCCAUCCAUCUACCAGAUCACUGGAAGCUAGCAGCCUGAAGUCAACAUUACACAUAGUGACUUGACUGGCUGGAAAGAAGCUGCAAAAAAAGAAGACAUCAUACACACUGCCUUAUCUGGAAGCAGAGUUGAUCACUGAUACAACUAACGCAAUGUUUGCUAUCUGAUCUAGGCCCUUAAUCUUAAAAUGUAGGACUGGAGGGACUACUUGGUCUGCUGCUCUGCAGAGGAGGAGAUUUUGUCAGGCAAAACCUUCUUUGCCCAUGCCACUCUUGGUACUGCUGCUGGGCAAAAUGUAUUUGUCUUCUUCCAGCUGAGUUUUGAAAAUGUCCAUGGAUAGAAGCUCUGCAGACUCUCUGGGGAUUCUCUUCCAGUACCUAAUUGCUCUCGCAGUAGAGAGGGAUUUAAUUUUUGCCAACAUCUGUCUGCAAUUUCACAUGCAGCAACUCUUGAGUUCAUUGCCCUCUUCCUGUCAUCUGGUUUUUCUUCUCUUAUGCAGUUGUUCCAGCUCCUUUUUCUCUGUCUGGAAAGACCUGCUGGACUCAAAAUCACAGGACUCAAACCACACAGCAUUUGGCAAAUUUCUGGGGAAGAGCAAUAGGUCUCCAAGGAGGUGACUAAAUCAAGGCAGUAGCAGCCACAGUUUGGAAAGAAGAAUUGGCCACACAUAGUGCAGUGAGAAUAAGCCAGCUGUGCAUAUUUUGGCUCCCAGUGGAUUGCCUGCAUUUUGGAGGUGUUGCUUGGAUGCCGGCAGAUUUUUAUUGCUGGGUUUCAGGCUGGUGUGGUUGUAAUGGAAACCUUUGCUUUGAGCUGAAGAAGGGUAUGGACACAUGGGUCAAAGGAAGACUGCCAUUUAUUUUCAGCCAUGGACAAACAUGUUGUGAGUGUUGUGGUCAGUCCAGUGCAUGCCAUCAACCCUUUAGAUGAGGAUUUAUUUUAAAAAUUACAAUAAUUGUACAAUAUUAAAUAUUUAAAAUAUCAAAUGUUUUAGUAUUUAUUUUAACAAUAAAAAGCCAAAAAGUGGGAAGGAGCCCCAUUUUUUCCAGAACCUGUUACUGUAAAUAUGAUGAAAAGAUAAUUAUAAAGGAAACUAGAGCAGACUGUACACCCUAGUAUUUCACAAGUGACUUUUAUCUGAAUUACUAAGUCCACAUCAGAGAAAAAAACAUGGCAUUAAAGCAAUUCACUUCCAGAAUUGAGAAGCUCUGAUUAAAUGUCAUAAACUGUAACUUUCCUUGUUCUUUUUUCCAGUUUGGUUUUAAUUUGGCUUUGGGGGUUUUUUUGGGUUUUUGUUUGGUUUUUGUUUGUGUUUUUUUUUUCUGAUAUGUAGAUGUUUUGCCAUUUUCUUUCUUAAGUGAGAACAAUUGAAAAGCUGUGAAGAUUAAGAAGGAAAUGUUUUGUGCCAGUACUCAUGAGGUUUGUUCUGGGAAAUAAUUAAGUAUAAAUCAAUUUUUAGGAAGAUAGGGGAAAUGUUUUCAGACAUGUAGUAUAGUACCAGAUUCUGCUUUCACUUACAUAAGUGCAGCUGUGCUGAAAUCCUGGAGCAGCAUCAAUGCCGUGUGUACUGUUAUCUCAUUUUACUUAUGCCCUGGGAUGCCUCUGAACAGUGACAAUAUGUUAGAAACCAGUGGAAAAUCCCUCUUUCCAGGAAUAAUGAAUCUGACUAGGUCUACUCCAUUCCCUCAUAUGAAGCUUCUGCACAGCACUGAGCUAUUCCCAGACUUUUGGAAAACCUUUUGCAGGGUAAGCCACCUUGUUAGGUGGCACCUUGUUAGGUCUCAUGAGUGAGGCAGAGAUGCAAGAAGGAAGAGUUAGGGGGGUGUAGUAACUGUGUCACAGCAACCCUCAGUUGCCAGUCAAGGCAAAAUGAUCCUCUACCUCAGUCAGUGGUACCCUCCUCCUGAGUUUUUGACUAGAGCUAGUGCUGAACUAAGCACACUGCUCACCUUUACUCAUUGAUACAAAAUAGGGGGUGUUUUAUGCAUGUAUAUAAAACACUUAUAUGAUUCAGGAUCACAUUGUGAGGUUUGAAUCCUGCCCUGCCAUCCUGUAGGAAGUGAUUAAAAUACCAGUCCUUAGUGCUCCUGUUCACCAAAAACACUUAUCUUAUUCAUCUGAAAUGCUUGUACACCAAUGCACACAGUAUAAGAAACAAAUAGGAUGAACUUGAAGCACCGGUCUGUUCCCAAUCCUAUGAUGGCAUUGGUUUUAUUUAAAUGUGGUGAGAUGAGUCCCACAGGCUGCUCAGGAGAGACAGGCAGGGCAGGUGAGGUGGAGGAGUUGCACUGUGUGUGAGGGAGAGGUGUGGCUAUACAGUUGUUACAGUUAGAAAUUACAUGUUUGAGAGCUUCUGGGUGAGGAAUAAUGGGGUUGGAAAACAAAGUAAAUGUUGCAGUGAGUCUCUACUAUGGGUAGCCCAGGCAGAAUGAUAGGACUGAUGAGUUAUUCUGUAGGCAAGAGAAAUAUCUGGAUGCACAGCCUUUGUCCUUAUGGUAGAUUUCAACUUCCCAGACAUCAGCUUGGAAUACCAUACUCAUGUGACAAGCAAGUCUGGGAAAUUCCAGUAGUUCAUUGAAAAUAACUUACUGACACAAAUACUCAGUGAGUCACCUAGGAAAGAUGCCCUCCUGAACUUAAUUGUGAGUAAAGAAGGACUCAAGGGGCAUGUGGCAGUAGGUGACUGUCUUGGCCGCAAUGAUCACAGAAUGGUUUAAAAUUGUCACAGAAAGUGUUUAAAUUGUCAGUGUAAUGAGAAAAAAGGACAUCAGAGUUUCUACCCUGGACUUCACGUGAGCAAACUUUAAGCUAUUCAGGGAACUAUUUAGCAGAGUGCCCUGGGAAUCUGCUUUUGUGGGCUUGGGGGUCCACAAGUGCUGGUCAGUUUUCAGCAACUGCCUUUUAGAGGCACAGGAGCAGACAAAUCCCCGUGUUGUAAGUCAAAUAAGCAGGGAAGGAGACCAGUUUGGCUGAACAUGGAACUCAGGAGGAAAAAGAAAUGGCACAGUCUCUGGAAGCAAGGUCAGGCUUCACAGGAAGAUUACAGAGCUCUAGUUUGCACAUGCAGGAAGAAGACAUGUAAGGCCAAAGCUGAACUAGAGUUGAAACUGGCGAGUGUUAGGUCAGAUGACAAAAAAGGCUUUUUAAAGUAUAUUAGUAGAACAAGGAAAAAGAGAGGGGUGCUUAUCUCUUCUCCUUUAUAUCCAGUCACAGGACAGUGGUUGAAAGCUACUCCAGGGGAGACACAGACUGGACAUUAGGAAGUAUUUCUUUUUUGAGGAAGAGGUCAAACUCUGCAACAGGUUCCCUAGACAAGUGAUCGAUGCCCCAAACCUGGCAGUGUUUGAGGCAUUUGGGGAAAUGUCCUUAACACCAUGCUUUUAUUUUCAACAAGCCCUGAAUUGGUCUGGCAGUUGGACUAGAGGAUUGGUGUAGAUCCCUUCCAGCUGAACUAUACUGUUCUACUAUUUUCUGUCCAAGUAGUUGUUCUACAUCCAUAUUCCCAAAGGACGUCAGCAUCUAAUUUAGGCAGUUACAUUCAGUUCUCCUCCAACAAAAGCAAAGGAAAAAUGACAGUCUCAAUAAAUGUGGGGCUGCUAUUAUUAAACAAAUAUUCCAGGAAAGAUUGUCAAAUUGAUAGCUUACAGGAAACUCCAGAGAAAGUCUGCACUUAAGUAGGUCCCAAGGAGGAGACAAAUCCAUGAAUAUCAGUGUUUUGCCAAAAUUAGCUAUAAACGUGUACCUGUCUCUACAACUGGUAACCAUCUUGCUGUUCCUGUGCACUGUCAUAAAGUAUUUAUUUAAACAAAAUGUAAACUUAUUUCUAUUUUCAUAGCUGUCAAACCAGCAGCCUUUUGUUUCCAGGAAUAGUAUUUAGUAAAAAGAGGGACUGGUCCAUGUUUGGAGUACCUUGUGCCCUCUACACAGUCUGCUAGAGGGCUGGUGAAACCAGAAUAUUAAUUAAAGAGAGAUUUGCCAGUGCAAAUGUAAACCCUGGUAUCUUUGGCUUGCAGUGGGUUAGCAAUAGAAUGCCAGAGUCUCCAGACUGACUCCAGAUUUGUUACUGUCCCUUCCUUAUCAGCUACAGCAGAGAAGAAGAGGCAGAGGGUGUUGCUUCUCUUGCUGAAAGAUAUUAUCUUACUCUUUAGGCCAACCUGUGGAUGCGUCUGUAGCUCCUGUAAGAGCACAAGCACAACAUAUAUGGCAAAUUAACAUCUUAGCUCAAGGGAUAAAGGCUUUUGGUGAGGAUUCAAGCUUCAGCCUUCUUGAUAGCCUAUUUCACAUAGAGCCUGAGGUUGCAGGGCACAAAGUCCCCUUAUUCAGUGGUAAUUCUGAGAACUUUCAUGUGGAGUAAAUUUUUCUGCUAUGAAUUAUAUUCAUUAAUUACAGGCAUGUGAAACAGCUGCAUAUAGUCCAUUUUGUGGUUUUACAUUACUUGGAUCUAUUGUUCAGCUCAUUCAGAUAUGGGUGGCAGGCAUUGAUGGGUGUUAAACUGUAGUAUUGCAGAAUAGGUGUGUGGUGUGGUUUGCACCAGGCUUCAAAGGUGCUAAGCUGACCCUACAUGACUGUAUUCAUUCU